ACGGAGUUAGCCGGUGCUUAUUCAUAUAGUACCGUCAUUAUCUUCCUAUAUAAAAGGAGUUUACGCUCCGAAAAGUGUCAUCCUCCACGCGGCGUUGCUGCAUCAGAGUUUCCUCCAUUGUGCAAUAUUCCCC
This 133-nucleotide ribosomal RNA is filed under the name uncultured bacterium. Its description in RNAcentral is "partial 16S ribosomal RNA". The record is from RNAcentral.